GUUUAAAAAUACUGCCACAUCAGUUGAAAAUGAAAGUGAAGAGGCUCAUCUGGGGGAAGGUUUUGGAGUCAAAUAGGUUGAGAAAUGAAACCUGAUUUUUAGCUAUUGGUGUUGCUGAGACUGUCCUCUGGAAUAUUAUUAAAUUGUUUAUGCUGCUCCAUAAAAAUUUUUUGUGUAAGUGGUUAUAUGUAGACAUUUUUGAAUCUUCUUCCUUGCAGGUUUUUCUCCAAAACAAACAGAAGGCUUUUUUGCCUCCUAGUUACAGAAGUAGUGCUUACUGAACAAAUGUAAAACACAGAGAAGCCUCGAGAAGAAAGUAAAAAUCUGUUAUAUUCGUACUACUCAAAGGUGACAUCUGCACACAUUUUGGUAUACAUAGUGUAAGUUUUUUUUAUAAGAUAUUACUGCUUAAUGUUUCUGCCAUAACUUCAGAAUUUGAUGAAAUUAGGUGAGUAAAGCUGAAAUUCUGUUCAUACAUUAAGCUUGUAUGUCUGAACCUGAAAUACAAGAAACUUAGAAUUUAGGGGAUAGAGAGGGAAGUUACCGAAAUAGAAAUACACAGUUUUGGAAAUUUGGCUGUCUCACUCUAGUUAUCUGCUCAUCUUUUUUGUUGUCUAUUCUCCUCUUUUCAGCUAUGUAAGUUUUAAAAAACUAAGACAUUUCAAAUUUGAAGUGUUUUUCUAUAGUAAUCGACUAAAAUAGAGUAAGAUGUGGGGAGGUAGAACCUAAACUGAGGGAGGUCAAAAACCAUAUGGAAAUAGAAAAUCCAAAACCUCUUGCAGAAUGAAGCUAGGAAGAAUGGAAUCUAAACACUGAAAUUAUACAUCUGGGAGGCAGCUGUGCGUUCUUUGUUCAUAGGUUCUGCUGCAGAAAUAGCAAAAGAAACUUUGAAAGGGAAAUGUAUCCUAAAUAGACUAAGCUAACUAUGAUAUGGACAUUUUUAAUGUUACAAUGUGUAUUAAGUCAUCUUUAAAUGAAUUGUUCCUUAAGUAGUAAUAAAAAUACUUUCCCAAAAAUAGCAGAUCACUUUGGGGGGUUAAAUUUGAGUUUCCUAUUUAUAUCGUCAGCACUGAAUCAGCAUUUUAUUAAAUUACAGAUCAAGGGAUUUUCAGUGACACUAAAAGAGUGUGAUACUGUUGUGAAUUUGUUGGUUGCUUUCGUUUUUGUUAGUAUUCAGGGAUGUGUGGUAGUUUAAUGUUCUGCCCUUCAAAAAUCAACUCUUACGAACUUGUUUAGACAAAACAUUUAAUUUUUAAAAUCAUCGGGCAGUUAAAAACAGUUGAAAUUUGAAAAGGGAAGACGUAAAAAAGCUUUUGUUUAGUUUUGAAAUGUUUAUAAUUACUAACAUCUGAAUGGCUUUAUAGUUUACAAACCACUUUUUAGCAUCCAGUUAAUCGCUGAUGAAUUUGUCUUGCUGACGUUUUUAUCUCUUGAAAAUUAAGACAGAGCACUCAAGUUGGUGGUUAUAGAAUGCUCUUUAGUUUUUACUUUCUAUAAGAGUGAUGUGUAGUCAAGGAUUUAGAAAUCACGGAAGACUAGAACAAGAAGGAAUCAUAUCUCCAACAUCUCAUAAUAGCCAUUGUUGACAUUUGGUAUAAUUCUCAGCCUUGUUUUUCUGUUCAUAUUUUUUGCAUAGUUUGCCCUGAUACUGGAGGAUAUAAUACUUGUAUCCUUUAAACAUUUAUUUGUAUGUUAAUUUUUUCUAAUAAAAACAUAGUUCUUAACCAUUUGAGGGGGGGUUAUUGUUUCAGUGGAAUUUUUUUCUACUUG
RNAcentral lists this long non-coding RNA (1770 nucleotides) under Capra hircus (goat). RNAcentral describes it as "lncRNA (ENSCHIG00010012909.1)". The record is from RNAcentral. Lineage: Eukaryota; Metazoa; Chordata; Mammalia; Artiodactyla; Bovidae.